RNAcentral lists this unclassified non-coding RNA (254 nucleotides) under uncultured fungus. RNAcentral describes it as "sequence contains ITS1". Lineage: Eukaryota; Fungi. The record is from RNAcentral.
AAGGCGCGAUAUGCCAUGUACGCUGCCGCGAAUCAUGGAUGUUUGAAUGCAAUCGGCGCCAUUCCUCAAUUGUAAAGGGAACGGCAUGUUUGUUUCAGCGUGCCUUACUAACUUCCCAUCCUAAUGCUGGGGAAACUCCCCGGUCAAGUCAGUGCUUCCCAGGCCUAACUAUUAUCAAAUAGACGUAGCCGUACGGGAAGCAGACGCAAAUACAGACAGCACCUGAGAUAAGCAAGAUGACCCGCUGAACUUAA